Long non-coding RNA from Biomphalaria glabrata, 526 nucleotides. RefSeq lists it as uncharacterized. The record is from RefSeq and is a predicted model, not a curated record. The transcript has 2 exons. NCBI's taxonomy places the organism in Eukaryota, Metazoa, Mollusca, Gastropoda, Planorbidae.
CCCAGAUAAGUGAGAGGAUCAUGUCAUAGCGUAGUGAGAAAGCUAAAAGCAUGGAAUAGCGCUAAACAAAAACAAUUGUUUUUGAGAUCUGAGUGUGACAGACGGACAUUUUGCUUAAACCUAAUAGCGGUUUUUCCCCUUACGACGUAGCUAAAAAUGUUUUAAUAAAAUCAGAGAUUCAAUACAUAAUGAGCAUCGACCUGCUGUCCAAUGUCAAAAAACGCAAACUAGAACUUUCUGGCCAUAUCACAAGGUCUUCAGGGAUUGCAUAGCUCUUCCUUCAGGGAACAGUAUCAGGAAAAAGAUGAGGCAGCCAGAGAAAGCAAUGGGAAGACAGUAUAAAAGAAACAGGCUUGUCGUUGAAAGAAAUUUUAUUCAAGCCAAAAGACAGAUGGUCACAGUUCAACAAACUAUGGGAGAAGUGAAAAUGAUACACAUUGAAGCAUUAUUGUUAGACUCUUGCAUAAUAUUGACUAUUUUAAUCAUUUAAUAAUUUGUUUGAAAAUAAAAAAGUAAAUAACAAAGA